Molecule: ribosomal RNA, 429 nt
Filed under: uncultured bacterium
Lineage: Bacteria
Description: bacterial SSU rRNA
Rfam family: Bacterial small subunit ribosomal RNA
Source: RNAcentral
GAUGAACGCUGGCGGCGUGCUUAACACAUGCAAGUCGAGCGAAGCACUAAAGCGGAUUUCUUCGGAUUGAAGGUUUAGUGACUGAGCGGCGGACGGGUGAGUAACGCGUGGGUAACCUGCCUCAUACAGGGGGAUAACAGUUGGAAACGGCUGCUAAUACCGCAUAAGCGCACAGUACCGCAUGGUACGGUGUGAAAAACUCCGGUGGUAUGAGAUGGACCCGCGUCUGAUUAGGUAGUUGGUGGGGUAACGGCCUACCAAGCCGACGAUCAGUAGCCGACCUGAGAGGGUGACCGGCCACAUUGGGACUGAGACACGGCCCAAACUCCUACGGGAGGCAGCAGUGGGGAAUAUUGCACAAUGGGGGAAACCCUGAUGCAGCGACGCCGCGUGAGCGAAGAAGUAUUUCGGUAUGUAAAGCUCUAUCAG